Long non-coding RNA from Cotesia glomerata, 385 nucleotides. RefSeq lists it as uncharacterized. The record is from RefSeq and is a predicted model, not a curated record. The transcript is spliced from 3 exons. NCBI's taxonomy places the organism in Eukaryota, Metazoa, Arthropoda, Insecta, Hymenoptera, Braconidae.
UAUACAAGUUAUUUUUAGCUUUGUCGUCAUCUCAAAGUGAAACUAUUGGUCGAUGGUGACGUGACGGUGUCCUGCGAUUGGUCAAUUUAAAGGAAAACUAAAAUUAAAUAAAAGCGCUAUUCGAUAUAUGUAUUGCCAAAAAUCUACUACAACGAAACAAAUCAAUGAUAUAAUAUGAAUGAAGAGACAUGAUGACGUUUCAGGGGGCACAAAUAGAAUGAAAUAUAUAAGUGAAGAAAAAAAAGUAUCAAUAUACCUGCUGAAGUUAAUGAUUAAUAGGAUAAUUAUAGAGAAAUACAAUCAGUAUACUAUAUAUAGUAUAAUAGCAAUGUUAUUUCAAUCAGCAAAAUUAUAAUUUUAAAAAUAGUAAAUAAUGCUGAAUUAU